Molecule: ribosomal RNA, 360 nt
Filed under: Viannamyia tuberculata
Lineage: Eukaryota; Metazoa; Arthropoda; Insecta; Diptera; Psychodidae
Description: partial 12S ribosomal RNA
Source: RNAcentral
AUUAUUAAAAUAUAGAUUUUAUUUUUAGAUUAGUAUUAGAUAUAGUGAUGAAAUUAAAAUAAUUUGGCGGUAUUUUAGUCUAUUCAGAGGAAUUUGUUUUAUAAUUGAUAUUCCUCAUUAUAUUUUACUUAUUUUAUUAAAUUUGUAUAUCGUUGUCAUUAGAAUAUAUUGUAAAAAUAAUAAUUUUCUAAAAUUAUUUAAAAUUUUAUGUCAAAUCAAGGUGCAGUUUAUAUUUAAGAAAAAAUGAAUUACAAUAAUAUAAAAUUAAUAUGAAUUAAAAAUUGAAAUAUUUUUAUGAAGGUGGAUUUGAGAGUAAAUUUAAUAAGAAUGUUAAAUUGAUUAUAGCUCUAAAAUAUGUAC